UACGUAGGGGGGCAAGCGUUGUCCGGAUUUAUUGGGCGUAAAGAGCGUGUAGGCGGUCAGAUAGGUCCGUUGUGAAAACUCGAGGCUCAACCUCGAGACGCCGAUGGAAACCAUCUGACUAGAGUCCGGAAGAGGAGAGUGGAAUUCCUGGUGUAGCGGUGAAAUGCGUAGAUAUCAGGAGGAACACCUGUGGUGUAGACAGCUUACUGGACCACUUCUGACGCUGAGACACGAAAGCGUGGGUAGCAAACAGG
This 254-nucleotide ribosomal RNA is filed under the name uncultured bacterium. Its description in RNAcentral is "partial 16S ribosomal RNA". It matches the Rfam family "Bacterial small subunit ribosomal RNA", at positions 524 to 776 of the family's 1533-position model. The record is from RNAcentral.